Long non-coding RNA from Calypte anna (Anna's hummingbird), 565 nucleotides. RefSeq lists it as uncharacterized. NCBI's taxonomy places the organism in Eukaryota, Metazoa, Chordata, Aves, Apodiformes, Trochilidae. The transcript has 3 exons. The record is from RefSeq and is a predicted model, not a curated record.
GGGUUGGGCGGCUCCCAGGGCGAGCGGGCGUCUCUGCGCGGCGCUUCCCUUCCGUAGGAAGUGGGCUAAAAAUAGGAGCCGGAUCCAUGGCUGAGCCCGCCCCCCACCAGGGCUUUGUCCUGCGGCUGUUCCCACGCACACCCUGUCCCGCCGGGGCAGGAGCAGGGUGAGGGGCCCUGGGACAGGGCUCAGCUGCCGGUGCCAAGCCCCAGGUGCUCAGCAGGACCCAGCUCACCUCCUUGACAUCUGUGCUAGCCCUGUCCAGGAGCAGGGAGUAGAGCAUAUCCUUGCCCCCAAUGAAGAGCCGGUCACGGUACUCAUCCAGGUAGAGGGAGCGGAAACCCAGGAAGCCCCGGUGGCCAAAGAAGACAACAGAGCGGAGCCACCACUGGACGCCAAAGCAGAAGGGAAAGCGGGGAGGGAGUGGGAAAGCUGGGGAGAUGGCCACUUCUGCCCACACAGAACAACACUUUCCCCUGUGGCCCACCCCAAACCUCACCCCACAGCUGGAUCCACCAGCCACGCAUGGCACCAACCAACAAGCUGAGCACAAACAGCUCCAGCU